UGAUGUAACGUCAAACUGUACAGCUUGCUAAAAUCUGCUCUUUGAGUUAAUAUUUAGAUUUAGUCAGGUCAAGGUUUAUGCGUUCAAACCUCUGCCUGAUCAUUUACAACGGCACUUUCGCUUGGUCGUAUCCUCAAACUACCAACUACACAUAGUAACGCGAAUAAACUACAAACCACCCAAAGCACUUACUUAAUCAAUCAUCAAUAAAAAAUGAUUAAAACUAUCGCGGAUAAAUGUAUCGUUAUCGCGUCGCGCGAGUCGAAUCAGCGUUUGUGAACUCGCAGAUGAGUGACGCGGCAGCGCGAGCGGUGCUAACGCGAACCUGCCAGUGAAAUAACUCACGAAACUGCGGGAAAUCAGCGUCAAAUCACCGAUAAACGGCCCGGUCGCGACGAGAUCAUCAGCCAUGAAGGAAGACGCCUUCUCUCGGGAUUUAGGAUAGAAACACAGUAUCUCUCUCUCUCUCACACACACACACACACACACACACACA
Long non-coding RNA from Cyprinus carpio (common carp), 496 nucleotides. RefSeq lists it as uncharacterized. The record is from RefSeq and is a predicted model, not a curated record. The transcript has 2 exons. Lineage: Eukaryota; Metazoa; Chordata; Actinopteri; Cypriniformes; Cyprinidae.